Lolium rigidum is the source of this 344-nucleotide long non-coding RNA. RefSeq lists it as uncharacterized. The transcript has 3 exons. Lineage: Eukaryota; Viridiplantae; Streptophyta; Magnoliopsida; Poales; Poaceae. The record is from RefSeq and is a predicted model, not a curated record.
CUUCAAUCCUGCAAUUGGUAGUUCAAGUGUGAGCGUACGUCCCUGCAACUCUCUGUGAUGUUGAUGCAAAGAUCAGGCUGGGUGAACGUUUGGUUAUUGAUGAUUCUACUGGUGGCAUCUCUGUUGGAGGGCUAAUACUGAUUACAGUCCUUUUACAGUUUUACGUCCCGUCCUUUAUUUAUUUGCGAUGGGAAGCUCUUCCUGGACUCUGUCAGAUCGUCUUGCUGGUAUGGGCUUUCCGUUUUAGAUGGAGCAUACAUUUCAGAAAAUGGUUUCUACCUGAAGUGGGAACCGUGUGUGCACAACCAGGUGGAGGGGUCAGUCCAAUAGCUCACUGCCUUUGG